GGCUGAGUUGACAAAGCGGCUUCCACAGUAACAUAAGGACAAAGGGUGUAUGUAGAUAUGCACGUGGUAGCAGGUUCUACUAAAGGAACCUGGACCGACCAUUCUUACUCACAUUCUUUGGGAGCUGUAUUCUAAUACUUUCAGAAAAGCCAUGGGAACACACCAGAGUGACUGCUCGAGUAAAUAAGUAGCAUACACAGCAAGCCAAACCAUUGAUGUACACAUCACUGGGCCCAAUACUAUGAAAUCUCACAUAAGAAACUUGAAAGUGAAAGGUGGAAUUCUGAGGAUACUGGUUUUGCUUAAUAAACAGCAUUUCAACAGUUAUUGUCAUGAUAUUGCUACUGAUGCUGAACAAAGACCCAAGAACCAGGGUGAUGUUUAGCAUGGGCUGGCCUCAGCAGGACUGAAAGGACAUCAAUAAAGGAGAACAGAGAGAAGGAAGGAGGACAAGUGCCAACUUUGAGCAGGUAUCAGGUGUAUGUGGGGGCAAACCAUUUCUCCGUCCACCCUGAUGAUGAGUCCCCGUUUCCCUUUUUAAGGCCGGAUUUUUGCACCCUCACCCCACCUAAGGCAGCCAGGGCCCCACACUGCAAUACUCCUAGGUAACAUCCAU
RNAcentral lists this long non-coding RNA (616 nucleotides) under Pan troglodytes (chimpanzee). RNAcentral describes it as "long non-coding RNA NONPTRT010516". Lineage: Eukaryota; Metazoa; Chordata; Mammalia; Primates; Hominidae. The record is from RNAcentral.